This 321-nucleotide ribosomal RNA is filed under the name Triticum aestivum (bread wheat). RNAcentral's name for it is "partial small subunit ribosomal RNA". Lineage: Eukaryota; Viridiplantae; Streptophyta; Magnoliopsida; Poales; Poaceae. The record is from RNAcentral.
AUGCUUCUGUCCCGUCGAAAAUGGAUGGUAGGUGGCUGGGGCCGGCGGCUCACUGGUGGUGGGGUGGCUUGCCGGGGUUGGGCUGCGGCGGCGUUGCGGAUAAGGUUGUGGUCGGGGUUGGUUGAUUGGAUGGAGAGAGAGAGGAAGAAGACAGAGGCUGAUAGGUGGGACCUCAUCCAACUCAGCAAAAUUGUCCACACAAGCAUGCCACAUCAGACCGACAGAUGGGGCCCACAUGUCGGUUUCACUGUUUUCGUGAGCAAAUCAUACAAUCAGUGCUCCGCGUUAUUGGUUAGGCAUAAAAUUGGUAGUUUCUUGUGA